This 254-nucleotide ribosomal RNA is filed under the name uncultured bacterium. Its description in RNAcentral is "partial 16S ribosomal RNA". It matches the Rfam family "Bacterial small subunit ribosomal RNA", at positions 524 to 776 of the family's 1533-position model. The record is from RNAcentral.
CACGUAGGGGGCGAGCGUUGUCCGGAUUUAUUGGGCGUAAAGAGCUCGUAGGCGGCUCAGUAAGUCGGGUGUGAAACCCCCGGGCUCAACCCGGGGACGCCACCUGAUACUGCUGUGGCUUGAGUCCGGUAGGGGAGCGUGGAAUUCCUGGUGUAGCGGUGAAAUGCGCAGAUAUCAGGAGGAACACCCGUAGCGAAGGCGGCACUCUGGGCCGGAACUGACGCUGAGGAGCGAAAGCGUGGGGAGCGAACAGG